UGCUAAAACUAGGAAGAAAUCUUACACGACUCCCAAGAAUAAGCAUAAGAGAAAGAAGGUGAAGUGGGUGUCCUGAAAUACUAUAAGGUGGAUGAAAAUGGCAGAAUUAGUGGCCUUCGCUGGGAGUGCCCUUCAGAUGAAUGCGGUGCUGGAGUUUUUAUGGCCAGCCACUCUGACAGGCAUUAUUGUGGCUAAUGUUGUCUGAUUUAUUGCUUCAACAAACCAGAAGACAAGUAA
RNAcentral lists this long non-coding RNA (237 nucleotides) under Homo sapiens (human). Its description in RNAcentral is "non-protein coding lnc-ATP6V1H-5:1". Lineage: Eukaryota; Metazoa; Chordata; Mammalia; Primates; Hominidae. The record is from RNAcentral.